AUUGAACGCUGGCGGCAUGCUUUACACAUGCAAGUCGAACGGCAGCGCGGGCUUCGGCCUGGCGGCGAGUGGCGAACGGGUGAGUAAUACAUCGGAACGUGCCCAGUAGUGGGGGAUAGCUCGGCGAAAGCCGGAUUAAUACCGCAUACGACCUGAGGGUGAAAGCGGGGGAUCUUCGGACCUCGCGCCUUUUGAGCGGGCGAUGGCAGAUUAGCUAGUUGGUGGGGUAAAGGCCUACCAAGGCGACGAUCCGUAGCUGGUCUGAAAGGACGACCAGCCACACGGGGACUGAGACACGGCCCAGACUCCUACGGGAGGCAGCAGUGGGGAAUUUUGGACAAUGGGCGAAAGCCUGAUCCAGCAAUGCCGCGUGUGUGAUGAAGGCCUUCGGGUUGUAAAGCACUUUUGGCGGGAACGAAAAAGACUGUGCCAAUACCACGGUUCGAUGACGGUACCCGCAGAAUAAGCACCGGCUAACUACGUG
Molecule: ribosomal RNA, 484 nt
Filed under: uncultured bacterium
Lineage: Bacteria
Description: partial 16S ribosomal RNA
Rfam family: Bacterial small subunit ribosomal RNA
Source: RNAcentral